GUCUACGGCCAUACCAUCCUGAACACGCCUGAUCUCAUCUGAUCUCGGAAGCUAAGCAGGGUCGGGCCUGGUUAGUACUUGGAUGGGAGAAAUCUCAUGUCCUGGGAGUCGGGCUGUAGCUC
This 122-nucleotide ribosomal RNA is filed under the name Erinaceus europaeus (western European hedgehog). Lineage: Eukaryota; Metazoa; Chordata; Mammalia; Eulipotyphla; Erinaceidae. The record is from RNAcentral.